Molecule: ribosomal RNA, 290 nt
Filed under: Pseudomonas fluorescens
Lineage: Bacteria; Pseudomonadati; Pseudomonadota; Gammaproteobacteria; Pseudomonadales; Pseudomonadaceae
Description: partial 16S ribosomal RNA
Source: RNAcentral
ACAAAGUGGUAAGCGCCCUCCCGAAGGUAGAUCUCAAGGAUCCCAACGGCUAGUCGACUAAGCUACCUACUUCUUUUGCAACCCACUCUCCGGUUGUCACCGGCAGUCUCCUUAGAGUAACCGUCCCCCUUGCGGUUAGACUAUCCGGUUGUCACCGGCAGUCUCCUUAGAGUGUUACGGGACUUAACCCAACAUCUCACGACACGAGCACAAGGCCCGGGAAACGUAUUCAAGUUGCAGACUGCAGAUCCGGACUACGAUCGGUUGUACCGACCAUUGUAGCACGUGUG